AGAGCUAUAGCUCAAUGGUAGAGCGUCACUUUAACACAGUGAAGGUUACUGGUUCGAUUCCAGUUAGUUCUU
This 72-nucleotide transfer RNA is filed under the name Candidatus Vidania fulgoroideorum. RNAcentral's name for it is "tRNA-Val". It matches the Rfam family "tRNA". Rfam says of the family: Transfer RNA (tRNA) molecules are approximately 80 nucleotides in length. Their secondary structure includes four short double-helical elements and three loops (D, anti-codon, and T loops). Lineage: Bacteria; Pseudomonadati; Pseudomonadota; Betaproteobacteria. The record is from RNAcentral.